This 228-nucleotide unclassified non-coding RNA is filed under the name Hevea brasiliensis (rubber tree). Lineage: Eukaryota; Viridiplantae; Streptophyta; Magnoliopsida; Malpighiales; Euphorbiaceae. The record is from RNAcentral.
GUAGUCUUGAUGAAGCACUCCACGGUAAGUAUAUUGGAAUUCGUGACCUGCAUUUAUGUGCCUCUUAUCAGUUCCAAUGCUCAUAAGCAUGUUAGCCCUCUUAAUUUUGACAUAUUCUGGACAGGACCUAGCAAACAGAUAUGGUAAUUAAUAUGACAAUUAGAAGAGUGAUGUUAUAUGUUGGGAGACUUAGAUCAUAAUCCUGCUUGGUGCUCUUUGACUUUUAUU